Long non-coding RNA from Bactrocera oleae (olive fruit fly), 877 nucleotides. RefSeq lists it as uncharacterized. The record is from RefSeq and is a predicted model, not a curated record. Lineage: Eukaryota; Metazoa; Arthropoda; Insecta; Diptera; Tephritidae.
CUCUAAACUUUACACUGAGAGUGAGCUUUUAAGCGACUCUCAUGAUGAUGCAGAGAAGUCAAUAACUAACGCGUCUUCGCCAAAUUAAUCUACACCACAGCAAACUAGCGUCUCUAGCCCUAGUUAACCGCAUGGCAGAAGAACGGCCUGACUUUGUCCUCUUUCAGGAGCCAUGGGUUAACGGAGUGCGUAUUUGCGGUCUAAGGACACCAGGAUAUAAUCUAUACGCGAAUGGUUGUGUAGUUACAGUAGUAACGACACUACGGUGGUAAGCUGGGAGACGGGCAAGAAAAAAUACCGGCUAGCAUCAUGCUACAUGCCGUAGGACGAGGUAGCAGUACCAUCGCAGCUGUUCAAAGAGCUGGUACGAGACGCCGAAGCAUCCAAGUGUUCGAUUAUACUUGGGUGCGACUCCAAUGCGCAGCAUACUCUAUGGGGAAGCAAGGACAUUAACGAAAGGGGUUCAAUAUGCAUCACUAGGCGGCUCUUCUGACGAUGAAAAUCUCUUGGGUGUAACUGUACAUUUUUAACAUUCAAUUUAAAAUAUUGGUAUUUUAGAUUUUUUGGCCCUUAAUUAGCCAUAAAAUUAUUACAUAUAUUUUGAUGGCAACGAUCUUAUUGAAACUGAAGGUAUUUUUAAUAAAAUUAAACUGAAAUUGAUGCAUACCAAAUAUAAGUUGAAAUUAAACUGGUGACACUGUAAUGAAUUUGUCUUGUAAUGUUUGGUCCACAUGAACAUGGCCCAUAUGUUCCAUUGCUUAUGACCAACACUUUGUCAAAGUAGGAUAGAAAUCGAAACACUUCAAUGACUGCUCAGACUUUAUGAUUUUUCUGAUUUAUUCCCUCAUUUUAAGGAUAUAUUAGAAUAAGGAAACAA